AGACGACAAGGGCAAACCCGGAGCGAUCCGGGGACGCAAAGUAGUGGAUCUUUAAGCCUGCACGGAAGAGGUUUAAAAAAGCCAAAUUUGCAGGUACAGAGACAGCCUUACUGCCGAA
Molecule: non-coding RNA, 118 nt
Filed under: Candidatus Brocadia
Lineage: Bacteria; Pseudomonadati; Planctomycetota; Candidatus Brocadiia; Candidatus Brocadiales; Candidatus Brocadiaceae
Description: c-di-GMP sequence
Rfam family: c-di-GMP-I riboswitch aptamer
About the family: GEMM was predicted in a large-scale screen for bacterial structured RNA regulatory elements. Genes associated with GEMM are involved in a diverse array of functions, including chemotaxis regulation, signal transduction, secretion and chitin.
Source: RNAcentral